GUCGGCCCAGGCCCCGGGGCUGGGAGGAGAGGAUGCCUUCGGAGGCGCAGAAUCCGAAAGUAUCUAAUUGUCUUUUUUCGCUGAGCAUACCAAAGAGAGUAACAAGUACAAAGUACUUGAUGUUUAAAGGAAUGCAGAAUAUCCAAUGCUACAAAAGGAACAAUGUAUCUGGAAUAAAAUGAGUGAAGGGGAUAGUGAUACAAGGAGAAGUUGAAAAGAGAUGUGGUUGGAGCUGGAAGCUGUUAUCCUCAGCAAACUAAUGCAGGAGGAGAAAACCAAAUACUGCAAGUUCUCACUUAUAAGUGGGAACUGAAUGAUGAGAACAUUUGGACAUGAAGACCAAAUCUCCAGGAUUGUGAAUCAAUCAGAGAAUGUUUAGAUGAGAAACCUGAUACACAGAGCAAAAAUCAGUGUUAUAGCCAGAGGCCCAGAAUUUGCAAGUUCCUGA
RNAcentral lists this long non-coding RNA (448 nucleotides) under Homo sapiens (human). RNAcentral's name for it is "non-protein coding lnc-KLF8-4:8". The record is from RNAcentral. Lineage: Eukaryota; Metazoa; Chordata; Mammalia; Primates; Hominidae.